UUUUCUUGAGCAGCAGAGUUUGGAGGUUUGCUGGAAAGUUACACCUAUUGCACCCUCUGGAUGUCACCAGGGCUGGCACACAACUGAUAAAGUCUUUCAGGCUGAGAGCUUUUGCUUCUGAAUAUUGAUUAUCGAUCCCAGGAUCUGAACAGGGCAAGGCAAGAGCAAACACGGCAAAGCUCCCCUGAACACCCACAAGAACAUCACUGUCUAGCCAGCAAAGCUGAGACAAAGAGAAAAUAUUUGUCUGCAAAGUCAGCUUGAUUCAGGGCUCAUCAGACAACACACAGGUGUUCAAGUUACACAGAAAACUGCACAUGAAUUGUAUUGACUUCUUUGAAACCACUUUGACCUUGUUUCAACUAGAGACUGUCUCAACUAGACAACUGAUUGUUGUUCUAACUAUGAAAAUGUGAAGAGAUGAUAAGAAUGUAAGAUUUUUCUUUUAAUUGGGCUGGUUUGUGGUGUGUUUCAGUUUUGAUAUCUGUGGUUUUGGCAUGGAGCAUAUUCUUAAGCUCAGCACUAAAAUGAUUCCUUUGUUAAAAAAAUAGCAAAUUAUUGAUAUUAUUAAAGCAGAUUGGGGGCUGUU
Taeniopygia guttata (zebra finch) is the source of this 589-nucleotide long non-coding RNA. RefSeq lists it as uncharacterized. Lineage: Eukaryota; Metazoa; Chordata; Aves; Passeriformes; Estrildidae. The record is from RefSeq and is a predicted model, not a curated record.